Molecule: long non-coding RNA, 2669 nt
Organism: Hibiscus syriacus
Lineage: Eukaryota; Viridiplantae; Streptophyta; Magnoliopsida; Malvales; Malvaceae
Exons: 3
Source: RefSeq, a predicted model, not a curated record
CUCUUAGCUUAUUUUUUUAAGUAACGGAUACCCAAAGCCAGUUCUUGUAGUUCCAAUUUUCUUAUUUUUUUUUUAACAAUGGUUGCAUUAGCAUUGGCCACCACUUCACCAUUGCUAUCAACACCCUCUUUCAAGAAAACAAAUCUCAAAACCUUUCCUACCCAAAUACGCUCUCCCUGCACUGCUAUCAACCUACUUCUUUUGAGUUCCAAAUUUCAAAACUUUCACCGUUUUCCUCUUCCUUCAACCGAAACAAGUGCUUCCAAAAAUGGGUUAUUCGAUACAACUGACCCAAGCGGAGAAGAUGAGAUUUUUACUUCCUUUUGAGGAGAAGCCGUUGAAUUUCGCCCUCUAGGUUUUGGUUGGGUUUUCCUUGUCUCUGAUUUGGGGUUUAGGGUUUAGAGAUGCUAAUACCGCCACUGCCACCGCCCCGACUUCGGCCGCAAGAUUGCGGGUGCUUUGCGCGGGUCGGGUUGGCCAGACGAGACUGUCGUGUUUGCUCUUGCUACUCUUCCUCUCCUCGAGCUUCGUGGAGCUAUUCAUGUUGGUUACUGGAUGCAACUCAAGCUUAUGCUCUUGACAAUCUUAUCAAUUCUCGGGAAUAUGCUUCAUGUGCCCUUCAUUAUACUGUACCAGAAGAGGUUUGCUACUUUUCUUGUUGGGAAAAACCAGUCUGCAUCUAGGUUUCUUGACAUGAUUUUCAAGAGGGCCAAGGAGAAGGUUGGUCAUGUGGAAGAAUUUCAAUGGCUCAGGCUAAUGCUUUUCGUGGCUGUUCCUUUCCCCAGAACAGGAGCAUGGACUGGGGCCAUCAUAGCCUCUAUUCUUGAUAUGCCCUUCUGGUCUGGUGUAUCAGCCAAUUUCUUUUCAUAUAUUAUUUAGCUUUGAUUAGUGUGAUUCAUCCAUCAGACUCCCAUGGAGCUUCUCUCUUAAAUGCAAGCUUUGUUUAGAUGCUUAGAUUGUGAUUUGUAGGAGUACAAGCUCAAAAGUACAUAUUGCUUUUUCGGUAUUUUUAGACAAUGGAAUAAGAAAUGAGCUUUUCAAUUCGUAAAAUAGGAGAAAAGGCCAUUCUUCAACCCGUAGAUCUGAAUAUGCAUAACUAUGUUCUGUAUUAAGUCUUAUAUGUCCAUGAAGGCUGCUGAGGAACCAGUCAACCAGCAUUACAGUUAGUCUAUCUUAUAUUUUACUGUUUCCACAUCAUAUAAAUUACUAUAACGAAUUGGCUUGUUUAGCUUAUUGCAUUUUUAACCUCUGUGGUCUAUAAGGCUCGUAAUAUUCUAUUGACGUGGUAAGCUUUCAGUCUUUGUUAGAUUGAAUGAAAUGCUAGCCAAUUUGUAGUUCAUCUUCAUCAGGGGUUGGACAAGAUAAGUUGAAUCUGUCAGCUUCUCCAACAGCCUUUUGGGUUCAAUCUUUAGCUAUUACCAUACCAACUAUUUAGUAUAGAGGUUCCUAAUCCCUGAUCGGUGAAUUUAAUUUCUAUGUUUGACCUCUAUCUCAUUACUUUAGUGGCGUUUGUAAUUAAAAGUUUAGCAAUGGUGAAGUGUUGCAGUCGAUGAUCUGGACACUUUUCUGCAUAGUGUUAGAGAACUUUUAAGUAUCCAUUCAAGUAAUGUCUCCAUGGUUACAUAUUUAGACCAAAUUAUUGUUUUAAUACAGGGUUUUUGUUUAGCUGAAGGAUUUUCAUUUGUGGUUGCUUUUGGCAUUUCCUUUAGAUGCACAGGUUGGUUUAUCAACAUAUGUAUCUGCUCCUAGCAUUGUGAAACAAAUAUCUGCUCUGCAUUCGGAAUUGAUUGCCCUUCAAUCCGAUCUUGAGAAUUCUCUUCCCGAGGAAAGAAAUAGACGCAUCAAUGAGCUAUGAGUUAUUCUAUUUUGCUUAUAUUUUAGAAAUUUUCUUCAACGUUACUAUUCGAAACACAUUUAAAAUACUUUCUGAGUUAGAAUUGUGUUUGAUGAAUUUUGAGCAUCUGAUAUUUCCUUAUUGUGCCAGGUGCACUUUGAUUCAAAGUUUGCAGCAACUAUUAUUUGCAUCUUCAACAACUGCACAACCAAUAUUGACACCUCGGCCUCUAAGGAAAGAGCUGGAUGAAAUGGAAAAGAUCAAUGCAAAACUCUCUGCUGCAGUCGAGGAGGUUACCCUUGAGCAUUGCAAAAAGAAUAUUUUAUUGGAGUUAAUAACAGUUUCCCUCAUGGAUGAAGUCUUGCAUAUCACUACAUAUGAUUACAACCAUUUUCAGUUCCCAUUCCAGUAUAUGCUCAAUUUAUAAGAAAUCUUUGAUAAACUAAAUAAACAGUCAUUAAUGUUUUUCUUUUAUCCAUUGAUAUUUCAAAACUAACGAUUUGAUCAUUAAUGUUAUCGAUUUAUAAGAAAUCUUUAUAAGCGACGACAAUGGCGAUAGCUAUGGAGAUGCAUGAUGUGAAAGGAGAGUGGUGAAGGCUGUUUCUAGUGUGAAUUUGAUGCUGGUUUUGAAUGAGAUUGAUGACCAUUUCUUGAAAUCCUGAGAGAAUGCUCGAGAGGUUUCUAAGAUGCAUUAUCAUUCCAAGUUAACUGUUAACCCAGGUAAUCUGCUUGGUCUUUAAGUUACUUUGAUGAUUGCUAAUACGUUUUUAGCUGCGACAAUUCCAAUUUUCGAUGGUUGAGUUCGAUAAAGGUAGGGUCUUCUACCAUCUUUUCC